RNAcentral lists this ribosomal RNA (782 nucleotides) under Dentiscutata heterogama. RNAcentral describes it as "eukaryotic LSU rRNA". It matches the Rfam family "Eukaryotic large subunit ribosomal RNA", at positions 1 to 695 of the family's 3401-position model. Lineage: Eukaryota; Fungi; Glomeromycota; Glomeromycetes; Diversisporales; Gigasporaceae. The record is from RNAcentral.
GACCUCAAGUCAUGUGAGAGUACCCGCUGAACUUAAGCAUAUCAAUAAGCGGAGGAAAAGAAACUAACAAGGAUUCCCCUAGUAACGGCGAGUGAAGCGGGAAGAGCACAAAUUUAAAAUCUACCUGGUUUCCAGGUCGAGUUGUAAUUUGAAGAAACGUUUUUGACGUUCCGGGUUGGGAUAAAUCCUUUGGGAUGAGGUAUCAUGGAGGGUGAGAAUCCCGUGUAUACCAACCGCAGGGAUGUUAUUUAAUACGUUUUCUAAGAGUCGAGUUGUUUGGGAAUGCAGCUCUAAAUGGGUGGUAAAUUUCACCUAAUGCUAAAUAUAAGCGAGAGACCGAUAGCGAACAAGUACCGUGAGGGAAAGAUGAAAAGAACUUUGAAAAGAGAGUUAAAUAGUACGUGAAAUUGUUGAAAGGGAAACGAUUGAAGUCAGUCAUGCCGGCGGGAAUCAACUUAGGGGAAACUUUAAGUGCACUUCACGUUUGGCAGGUCAGCGUCGAUUUUGGAUAUCAUAAAAUGAUUGGGGGAAGGUAGCUCCUUCGGGAGUGUUAUAGCCCUUGAUAGAUGUGAUGUCUGGGAUCGAGGAUUGCAACGGAUAUCCUUUGGGCUAGCCGCCUGAUCUCUAACUGGUGUUAGGUUACGGACAGCAUGCUGACCGUGAUUUAAUUACUGGUUAAAAGGUUAGAGCGAGUGUAAAUUCGUUAAGGACGCUGACGUAAUGGCUUUAAACGACCCGUCUUGAAACACGGACCAAGGAGUCUAACAUAUAUGCGAGUGUUU